Molecule: long non-coding RNA, 800 nt
Organism: Paramisgurnus dabryanus
Lineage: Eukaryota; Metazoa; Chordata; Actinopteri; Cypriniformes; Cobitidae
Source: RefSeq, a predicted model, not a curated record
UCUGGACGUGGGACAUCUUUUUUUACCAUCUUUAUUGUUUUUUUAACAUGUUGUCUUUUGUUAUGUGUUAUUAGCUAUGGUUAUUAGUCAUGUUCGACUUCAUGCAGCGCUGCGAGAACAGACAUCAUACGUUGAUGACGUCAAUGUAUCGCGAGAGCGAGUCAAGAAAUUACACUCUCGCGGUACAUUGACGUUAUCAACCUGUCAGCGCAGCAAGAAGUCGAGCACACGUAUUUGCGGGCGCGCGCCUCCGUCCUCGUGAGUUCAAAGUGGAUUUUAACCGUUUACCUCCGACGACAGUUUUCAUUUCUAUGGCAAAUUCUAAGGUCAUUUUCUUGUUGUGUUUUGAUGUUUUCCAUUGGCUGAAGACUAAGAUGAGCCUGAAGAGGAGAUUUGGGAAGUCUUUGCUUUGCCAGAUCACCUGUGGUCGGGAUGUCUGCUAACAAGAUGCCUUGUUGGUCUGGGCAAGUUUGAAGUCUCUCACAGACAGUCCAGAAGGUCUGGAGUCCAUCUUAGCUUUUAUUGAUGCUGUCAUCAGAUUUUAAGUACAGUAUGAGCCAGAAUGGAAGGGUGUUGGUGGCCAUAAGAAGACUGUGAGCUAAACCUACAACAAAAUUCAUAUUUGCAGUUUUCCUAGAAUAUUUUUUUCUAUUCAGAUGAAUAAAAUUACUUUAAAAUAUUAUUUUGUUUUCAUAUUUUAUGUUUUUAUUCUGUAUUUGGAAUAUUCCACUUCUGCACUACUAACUGGAAACCUAACUGUUUGAAAGAAUUUGUUUUUAUCUAUAAAAGAUCAAUUUUAA